GAUGAAGAACGUAGCGAAAUGCGAUAAGUAAUGUGAAUUGCAGAAUUUAGUGAAUCAUCGAAUCUUUGAACGCACAUUGCGCCCACUGGUAUUCCGGUGGGCAUGCCUGUUCGAGCGUCAUUAUCCUCCCUCAAACCCCGGGUUUGGUGUUGGACCCAAGUUGUGUGAACAACUGGUCUCAAAGACAAUGACGGCGUCCGUGGGACCCUCGGUGCAACGAGCUUUUAGGAGCACGCAUCGAGUUGCAAGGACCUUCCGGGCCGGUCUCCUUUACCAUUUUACAAGGUUGACCUCGGAUCAGGUAGGAAUACCCGCUGAACUUAAGCAUAUCAAUAAGCGGAGGA
Molecule: unclassified non-coding RNA, 344 nt
Filed under: soil metagenome
Description: partial contains 5.8S ribosomal RNA, internal transcribed spacer 2, and large subunit ribosomal RNA
Rfam family: 5.8S ribosomal RNA (bases 1-120)
Source: RNAcentral